GGUGGCAGACCCACCGAAAGCUGUUGUCGGAAGGCGCUUUCAAACCACCCCAACUGCUGCGGUAAAGAGCCAUGGUGGUGAGCGCAGGGGGAACAGGCAGU
This 101-nucleotide non-coding RNA is filed under the name insect gut metagenome. The record is from RNAcentral.